This 65-nucleotide transfer RNA is filed under the name Teliapsocus conterminus. Its description in RNAcentral is "tRNA-Gln". Lineage: Eukaryota; Metazoa; Arthropoda; Insecta; Psocodea; Amphipsocidae. The record is from RNAcentral.
UACGUUAUGGUGUAUUAGCAUAAAAGAUUUUGAUUCUUUAGGGGUAUAUAGCUUACUUAACGUAA